RNAcentral lists this ribosomal RNA (253 nucleotides) under uncultured bacterium. RNAcentral's name for it is "partial 16S ribosomal RNA". It matches the Rfam family "Bacterial small subunit ribosomal RNA", at positions 524 to 776 of the family's 1533-position model. The record is from RNAcentral.
UACGUAGGGGGCUAGCGUUGUCCGGAAUCAUUGGGCGUAAAGCGCGCGUAGGCGGCCCGGUAAGUCCGUUGUAAAAGUCAAAGGCUCAACCUUUGAAAGCCGAUGGAUACUGCCGGGCUAGAGUCCGGAAGAGGCGAGUGGAAUUCCUGGUGUAGCGGUGGAAUGCGCAGAUAUCAGGAGGAACACCGAUAGCGAAGGCAGCUUGCUGGGACGGUACUGACGCUGAGGCGCGAAAGCGUGGGGAGCGAACAGG